GUUGAACGCUGGCGGCGUGCCUAACACAUGCAAGUCGAACGGUAACACGAAGAGCUUUCUUUCUUUACUUUCGAGUCGCGGGCGUGUGUGACAUGUGUGGGACCCAGCUUGAUGACUGGGAUUACCUACUGAAAACGGUGCUAAAUACCGAUUACCUUCUCAAGACCAUGGUUGAGGAGUGUCAGACCGCCUUCCAGCCGCUUAUCGCAGAUUCCGGAUGGGAUUAGCUAGUUGGUAGGGUAACGGCUCACCAAGGCCACGAUUCGUAGCUGAUCUGAGAGGAUGACCAGCCACACUGGAACUGAGACACGGUCCAGACUCCUACGGGAGGCAGCAGUGGGGAAUAUUGCGCAAUGGGCGAAAGCCUGAUGCAGCAAUGCCGCGUGUAUGAAGAAGGCCUUCGGGUUGUAAAGCUCUGUCAGCGGGGAGGAAGGGAGUAAAGUGAAUAUAUGUGCUUAUUGACGUUACCUGAAGAAGAAGCACCGGCUAACUACGUG
This 497-nucleotide ribosomal RNA is filed under the name uncultured bacterium. RNAcentral describes it as "partial 16S ribosomal RNA". It matches the Rfam family "Bacterial small subunit ribosomal RNA", at positions 28 to 507 of the family's 1533-position model. The record is from RNAcentral.